GUAUUACUAAGCGGAGGAAAAGAAAUUAACGAAGAUUGCCUCAGUAGCGGCGAGCGAAGCGGCAAAAGCUCAAGUCAAAUCUGCGACCUCCGGUCGUUGAAUUGUAAUCUAAAGGUUGAGACAAAAGGGGAGGCCGAGGCAUAAGUUGCUUGGAACAGCAGGCCAAAGAGGGUGAUAGUCCCGUAUUUGGCCUCAGCCGAACCGAAUGUCGAAGACCAUAGAGUCGGGUUGUUUGGGAUUGCAGCCCUAAAUGGGAGAUAAACUUCUUCUAAGGCUAAAUAUGGAUGGGAGACCGAUAGCGCACAAGUA
RNAcentral lists this ribosomal RNA (309 nucleotides) under uncultured eukaryote. RNAcentral describes it as "partial large subunit ribosomal RNA". It matches the Rfam family "Eukaryotic large subunit ribosomal RNA", at positions 40 to 350 of the family's 3401-position model. The record is from RNAcentral.